RNAcentral lists this long non-coding RNA (659 nucleotides) under Medicago truncatula (barrel medic). RNAcentral describes it as "lncRNA gene14072". The record is from RNAcentral. Lineage: Eukaryota; Viridiplantae; Streptophyta; Magnoliopsida; Fabales; Fabaceae.
GAAAGAAAAAAAAAAAACUGUUAUAAUCUCUUAUGCUUUUGGAGAAAGGGGAAGAUUGUUCAUACAACUGCUGGAAAUAAGAUCGUAACAGGAGGAUUUUCCAAAACCAAAUUGAUCAUCUGGAAGCUCUUCUUGAAAGGGUUAAACUUCGAACGUUUUGGUGGUUGAAAGCUAACUACAUCACGUUCGCUUUCGAUUAUCCCUUUUGGACACAAAAUCCCUUAUGUUGUUUACAGACUGCUUGUAAAUUCUGUUUUGGUUUUUGAUUUAUGGCUGUUUUAGCCUUACUGUAAUGUAAUUAACUCUUUUCAGCUCCCUUUGACACACCUUGUGCUUGAGGGACUGAUUAUCUCUUUAAUAUAUUUCUCUUAGUUUCUUCAACAACAAAAAAAAUUGAGGAGAGAAAAUUAUUAUUAAUUAAAAUGUAAUGAACAUUCUACUGCUGUCUCAAUCUCUAAAGGUUACAAGGUCAAACUUUUGUUGGUAGAAUAGUCGGUUUUGUUCAAGUUUUGUAAUAUUUAUGACGAAAUCUAAACCAAAUCGAUGAUCACAUGUUGGUUUGGUCUGAUUCAAUAGGAUUUACAUUUUUAUUAAUUAAAAUAUCAUGCCAGAUACUUAUAUUAAUAUUUAACUAUCGUAAACAAAAAAUAAUCCAAUAA